Molecule: ribosomal RNA, 485 nt
Filed under: Rhabdophis nigrocinctus (green keelback)
Lineage: Eukaryota; Metazoa; Chordata; Lepidosauria; Squamata; Natricidae
Description: partial large subunit ribosomal RNA
Rfam family: Bacterial large subunit ribosomal RNA
Source: RNAcentral
AACAAAUAUUAAAGGCAAUGCCUGCCCAGUGAACAAUUAAACGGCCGCGGUAUCCUAACCGUGCAAAGGUAGCAUAAUCAUUUGUCUAUUAACUGUAGACCUGUAUGAAAGGCAAAAUGAGGGUUUAACUGUCUCUUAUAAUAAAUCUAUUAAACUGAUCCCCCAGUAAAAAAGCUGGGAUACCCCCAUAAGACCAGAAGACCCUGUGAAGCUUUAACUAAACUAUUAAACCAAAUAAUAACUACUUUAGGUUGGGGCGACCUUGGAAACAAAAAGAACUUCCAACACAUACUAAAUAAACAGGCUAACAAGCCAAUUAACGACCCAGUAACACUGAUAAUUGAACCAAGUUACUCCAGGGAUAACAGCGCUAUCUUCUUCAAGAGCCCAUAUCAAAAAGAAGGUUUACGACCUCGAUGUUGGAUCAGGACACCCAAAUGGUGCAACCGCUAUUAAAGGUUCGUUUGUUCAACGAUUAAAGUCCU